This 473-nucleotide ribosomal RNA is filed under the name uncultured bacterium. Its description in RNAcentral is "bacterial SSU rRNA". It matches the Rfam family "Bacterial small subunit ribosomal RNA", at positions 329 to 793 of the family's 1533-position model. The record is from RNAcentral.
GCUAUCACUCCUACGGGGAGGCAGCGUGGGGAAUAUUGCACAAUGGGCGCAAGCCUGAUGCAGCCAUGCCGCGUGUAUGAAGAAGGCCCUUGGGUUGUAAAGUACUUUCAGCAGUGAGGAAGGCGGGUACGUUAAUAGCGUGCUCGUUUGACGUUAGCUGCAGAAGAAGCACCGGCUAACUCCGUGCCAGCAGCCGCGGUAAUACGGAGGGUGCGAGCGUUAAUCGGAAAUUACUGGGCGUAAAGCGCAUGCAGGUGGUUUGUUAAGUCAGAUGUGAAAGCCCGGGGCUCAACCUCGGAAUAGCAUUUGAAACUGGCAGACUAGAGUACUGUAGAGGGGGGUAGAAUUUCAGGUGUAGCGGUGAAAUGCGUAGAGAUCUGAAGGAAUACCGGUGGCGAAGGCGGCCCCCUGGACAGAUACUGACACUCAGAUGCGAAAGCGUGGGGAGCAAACAGGAUUAGAUACCCUGGUAG